UAAUGUAAAUCAAUACACACUCUGACAGAAAGGCAAAACAGAGAGGAGUGUCCUUAAUUCUGCCUGGGGUUUAAGAAUCAGGGCAGAUUUCACAGAGGAGGCAACAGCUGACCAGAGCGCUCAAUUUCCUAGUUAAAACAGAGCCAAACAGAGGAUGAUCAGAACUAUCGCUUUAAUUAAAAAAAAAAAAUCAGAAUAAAUGUGAAACACCUGGGAUUUUUAUUUCUGUUCAGAACUGUAGAAAAAUAAGGGUGAUGAUGAUGACAGUGGUGUUGAUGGAUGUUACCGGUUACCGACCCAGCAUCUGGCUGGGUCCGCUUCCCCUUUCCUGGCUAGCACCUUAAUUUUCCUUCUGCUGCUUAAGCCUCUUCUGAACUGUAGCAACCACGUGGUUUUGGAGGUUGACCCCAGCUCAGGUGUGAGCUGUAAUUAAUCUAAGUCAGUUAACAAACUCCCAUCCCCCUGCCAGUGGUUGGCUUAAGAACACAAACCUGUAGUAAACAGAGUGGGGCGUUCUCUGUUCGCAGAGAUAGGUUCAGGAAAGGGCACAAGACUAUAUUUGGGCCAAUGAAAUGUAAGGGCAGUUUUGAAAAGGGGAUUCUGGGAAACUUUUCCUUAGUCUUAGAGGAAAACCUUAGGGGGGCUCUCUGUUGCUGGCCUAGGAAUACGGCUGACAUCUGAUUCCCAGCCUGAAGAUGAAGCUGGUUACUCAGAAACAUUCCUCACCCCUCCUCCUGCUCCAGGAAUCACAGGGCAGUGGAGACAGAGCCGUCGAGUGAACUAAAUUUGAAAACCUGCCUGACUUACGGAUUUCCAGAUUUUUACUUCUUAGCGGGAGCGCCGUGCUUGGCUCUGUGGCUUGAGCCAGUAGCGCUGAGUCCACCAGGAGUCAAGUUCAUAGAUUCACUGAGAACCUACCAUCUGCUUGGUCACUUUGUACCUGAGGUCCACCUGGCUCUUUCUCCACUAAACAUCCUGCACGGUUUUCAGCAUUCACUUCUCUAGAGAUUCCUCUGGCUGCUGUGAAGACGGUAGGCAAGGGAGCCCACUUAGAAGCCCAGCGUGGUGGUACAGAUGUAUUAUAUGCAGGUCCAAAUGGUGAAGAGUGCAUAGAGGAAUUAGGGGUGGGAUCUAAUACACAAGAAGAGAGAUCCCGGUGUCCUGAGGGGCAGUGCCCAGCCCCCUGCCUUCCAUGUGCCUGCACACCUUCAGCCCUCCGAGGGAGACCCGUGUGGAAAAGGAUGACAUCGAGCAAAGAGCAUAGGUGUGGGAAGUCCCUCUCUCUACAGCACUACAGCACAUCGCCGGCUGCUCUUGGCUCCCAAGUUUGAGAGCAGGAAGACUUGCUUCAGAUGGCUGGCACUGCUUUCCCUAGCCCUGCCUCA
Camelus dromedarius (Arabian camel) is the source of this 1385-nucleotide long non-coding RNA. RefSeq lists it as uncharacterized. The transcript is spliced from 4 exons. The record is from RefSeq and is a predicted model, not a curated record. Lineage: Eukaryota; Metazoa; Chordata; Mammalia; Artiodactyla; Camelidae.